RNAcentral lists this ribosomal RNA (371 nucleotides) under Bacillus sp. (in: firmicutes). RNAcentral describes it as "bacterial SSU rRNA". It matches the Rfam family "Bacterial small subunit ribosomal RNA", at positions 56 to 419 of the family's 1533-position model. The record is from RNAcentral. Lineage: Bacteria; Bacillati; Bacillota; Bacilli; Caryophanales; Bacillaceae.
UGCAGUCGAGCGGACCGACGGAGCUUGCUCCCUUAGGUCAGCGGCGGACGGGUGAGUAACACGUGGGUAACCUGCCUGUAAGACUGGGAUAACUCCGGGAAACCGGGGCUAAUACCGGAUGCUUGAUUGAACCGCAGGUUCAAUUAUAAAAGGGGGCUUUUAACUUCCACUUACCGAUGGACCCCCGGCGCAAUAACUUGUUUGUGAGGUAACGGCUCACCCAGGGCACCAUUCGUAACCCAACUGAAAGGGUGAUCGGCCACACUGGGACUGAAACACGGCCCAAACUCCUACCGGAGGCAGCAAUAGGGAAUCUUCCGCAAUGGAAGAAAGUCUGACCGAACAACCCCCCGGGGGUGAUGAAAGUUUUC